This is a long non-coding RNA of Cyprinus carpio carpio, 831 nucleotides long. The record is from Ensembl. NCBI's taxonomy places the organism in Eukaryota, Metazoa, Chordata, Actinopteri, Cypriniformes, Cyprinidae.
UUUCUUUCUAAAAAUCCAUUCAUACUAACAGCAAACCUUUAAAUGGUACUAUAGAUCAAUGCUAAUAGCAUUUAAAUAUUAAAUUCUCUGCAAUGUCUUUCCUGAAGGGAUAACGAGAGCUUGUGGAGAGUCAUUGAAACAGAAAUAUCAGCGGCAGCACAAAAUCAUACGUAAGAUUACAAAGUUCAUCAUCAACAUCGUUCAGUCAAGUGAGAUAAAAGGCUGCAAAAGGAGACUCCCCAUGAUCAACAAUUCUAUGGAGUUCCAGUCUGCGCCGGAAUAUGCUUGUUCCUUCAGUGUGAAUCCCACUCUUUCCACUCCCCCCUCAAAGAGAUCCCUUCCUUGCAAGAGCUGGAUGUGUCACCGGCUGAUGUGUACUCAAAUGGCAUGAUCAUCUCAAAUGGCACUUCACCCACCUGCUGGAUCCCACACCUGAGCCUAGCAGAAAACCAGUGAUGGAAAGCUUUCCCGUAACUCAAACUACAUUUUUAUCUCCCGCCUCCCCAACUCUGCCCUCCAUGGAGCUGGCAUUGAAUUUGCUAGAUGACCCAGCUGUCCAGGAGUCUGAGGAAAUACCCUCUGAAAAGUUAGAUAGCAAACUGAUCAUGUGUGUCAUUUUCUUUUAUAAUUAUAACAGAUCUCUGUUCUGUUUUAUCAAUAACUGGAGGAGAUUCUUUUUCUGAUGAAAAAAAAAAGUGAUUUAAAAUGCAAUUUUCUAGAUUUGUUGUGGUUAUUUUUAGGGCUGAUAAAUGUGGCCAAAUAUAGUGAUUAUAUAUCAUUAUGAUAAUGAAAAAAAAUUGUAUUAGUAUAAGUAGCAGUAGUAGUAGCAGC